UAACAAUGUCUGAUAAAGUCGUAUCCAAUUUACAAAAGAUUUUCAAUCGUUUAACAGAACGUAAAUAAAAUUAUCAAGUAUUUUAAUUUCACAAGUGUUUUUCAAAUGUUCGUUUUGUUUACUGAAUUUAAUAAUCAUCAACAGAUUCGUGCGUACGACGCAGUUGUGAUUCGUCAGUGAAUACAAGUAACAUUAUUUACAAGGAAAAUAACUUUCGAGGAUCCCAGAGUCGAUGUUUCUAUAAAUAAUUAAAAAAGAAAAGAGCCGUAAUAAAAGCACAACAGGAAAAAUAUUCGGGGUCGCAGCUGAGUGAAAUGACGGGAAUACCUUAUCGAGGUGGUCACGUUAAAUGAUUCACCCUGUGUAGGUUAGCCAGUAACACAGCAGAGAAGUUGAUAAUGACCGAGAGAGAAUAGAAUAACUCACCGACUGUUGCAGUGACACGGCGAGCACGUUUUAUUACAAUAUCAAUACAGAUAUAUUCGCUUGAAACUAACAUCAACGAAGCUGGUGCUGCUUUUUGGAUGGUAUCCUGUUCGCUUGUUUCACACUUGCACGAAGGCCCGGGGAAACUGUAAGAAACCUAGCCGACCGGGCAGUCACAUUUUUACUAAAUGCCAGCUUGGUGGGGUCAUCAGCACCUCAGAAAAACUGCUUCCCGCUCAGUGAUUGAUGGGCAAUCCGGUGCAUGGCUAAGCGGUUAUCCAUCCCAGUAUUGAAUUUCUUUGAGGCUGCUUCAUUUGGGUGAAUGAAUUCGUGCUGGCACUCUACAAACUAAAAUAAUUAUAUACAAAACACCCACAAUCGUCGUAACCGAAGAAAAUGUUUUUUGAGAAUGAGUUGCCAAGCUGCCGUGUACCUUAACAAUGAGGAACGUCGAUAGUUUCAGGCUGAAAAAAUUACAAAGUGCGCUCCAAAUGUGAAUAAAAAUGUGGCAAAAACUUCGCAGUCGCAUCUUUAAAUAGCUCGCAAAAAAAAAUCUGAAAAAGCAUAAAAAAGGAAUCUUCACGCAUGCAGGAUCCUCAAAGAACAAUUUUCAAAUUGCUUCCAACUUUUUUUCAAAAAAAAUAAACGAAAUAAAAUGUUAAUUGGAA
This is a long non-coding RNA of Venturia canescens, 1094 nucleotides long. RefSeq lists it as uncharacterized. The transcript is spliced from 5 exons. The record is from RefSeq and is a predicted model, not a curated record. Lineage: Eukaryota; Metazoa; Arthropoda; Insecta; Hymenoptera; Ichneumonidae.